UUAUUUAACUGUCCGGUUUUU
This 21-nucleotide non-coding RNA is filed under the name Caenorhabditis elegans. Lineage: Eukaryota; Metazoa; Nematoda; Chromadorea; Rhabditida; Rhabditidae. The record is from RNAcentral.